CAACUUGCCUGGAGCAUCAUCUGCUUUGUUUCUGGUGCAGAGCAAGAGGGAAAACUGGGCAUCUUGGAGAAGCACUAGGAGAUGGGACAGAGCAGAGAUGUUUAGAGAGAAAACCCACUUUAUUAGACAUAUUCAGUUACUAUCUUGAGGCUCGAGUUCCAUAGCAAAAUAGUAUUCUCUAGAUUCAGAAAAACAGAAGCAGCUCCAAUCUUCUACAGCGUCCAUCUGGAUGUCAGCUGGACAUACAGUCAGGGACUCACACAUACAGCCACUAGAGCUGCACCCAAAAUCU
Molecule: long non-coding RNA, 292 nt
Organism: Cuculus canorus (common cuckoo)
Lineage: Eukaryota; Metazoa; Chordata; Aves; Cuculiformes; Cuculidae
Exons: 3
Source: RefSeq, a predicted model, not a curated record